UUAUGCAUGUGUUUGCAUGUUAGUCAAGUCUACAAAAUUUUCUUUAAAUAAUACAUAUAUUCUUAGCGGUAGUUUUGGACCUUUGGUAUCUUUCAUUCAGUUUUGAUGAUUCCAAAUUGGUCCUGAUCAAAAAUAUAAUACAGGGGGAGUCUGCUAACAGACAUACAAUGUCUAGCUGUUACUAUGUAUAAAGAAAGUUGGUGAUCGUAUUUGUAUGUCAUUUUUCUUGUCCUAUAAUCCUUUUAGUAUUAAUUAAAUCAUUAAUGGUUGGUAAGAUUUGUCUCCUAUUCGAAAAAACUUCGGUUCUGAUUUAUUUUACUUACAAAGUAACAAUCAUCCUAUACAUUUUCUAGUUAAACAGGGGAUUAAUUCUAUUUCAUUUUAUUAGUAUUAUUUUUUAUUUUUUAUUUAAAUUUUUAAUUAAAAAGUAACAAAAUAUAUUGGAGGUCCAUUUGUUUCAAUAGUUAACCAAAAAAUUAUUAAUACUCUUACACCUAGGUUUGGAGUUCAAGUACCAGAAAACAACGCAGUUUCUUUCAUAUUAAUGGUGCAACCUUAUCGGAGGUCCAGAGUGCGCAUGAAGAGCAUUUCCAUCACAUGGAUGUCGUACAUGCAUGACCUUCCGUUGAAGGUCCGAGUGUGUCGGGGAGAGCUGCGCCGUGAAACCAUUGUUUGGAGAAGCUGCUCAUCAUAAUUGCAUAUGUUACAAGUUGUUAAAUAAUAUCAUAAUAUGAUUAGAUUAAAUAUCUCUAGUAAAAAUAUAAUAACAUGACAAAAGAAAAGAAUGCAGACAAUAAGCUUUUGAAAUGCA
This 811-nucleotide long non-coding RNA is filed under the name Arabidopsis thaliana (thale cress). RNAcentral's name for it is "long non-coding RNA (ATHA_LNC000150)". The record is from RNAcentral. Lineage: Eukaryota; Viridiplantae; Streptophyta; Magnoliopsida; Brassicales; Brassicaceae.